GACGAACGCUGGCGGCGUGCUUAACACAUGCAAGUCGAACGGCAAGGCCCUGAUUUUGUGGGGUGCCCGAGUGGCGAACGGGUGCGUGACACGAGAGUAACCUAAUCUUGACUUUGGGGUAACUUCAGGAAACUGGGGCUACUCCCGGAUAGGAGCCCCUGCAGCAUGGUGGGGGUUGGAAAGUUUCGGCUGGUGGGGAUGGAUUCGCGGCUUACCAGUUUGCUGGUUGGGUAGUUGCUUACCAAGUCUUUGACGGGUAGCCGGCCGGUGAGCGGGGACGGCGACAUUGGGACUAAGAGACGGCCCAGACUGCUACAGUAGACAGUAGUGGGGAGUAUUACACAGUGGGCCGAAGCCUGAUGCGGCAACGUCGCGGGCGUGAUGACGGUUUGCUGGGUGUAAACCGCAUUCGCCUGAUACGAAGCGUGAGUGACGGUACUGGGUAAAGAAGCACCGGCUAACUACGUG
Molecule: ribosomal RNA, 468 nt
Filed under: uncultured bacterium
Lineage: Bacteria
Description: partial 16S ribosomal RNA
Rfam family: Bacterial small subunit ribosomal RNA
Source: RNAcentral